Molecule: non-coding RNA, 188 nt
Filed under: bacterium
Lineage: Bacteria
Description: 6S RNA
Rfam family: 6S / SsrS RNA
About the family: E. coli 6S RNA was the first non coding RNA to be sequenced, but its function was unknown until recently.
Source: RNAcentral
UUUUCCCUGCUGUGUUCGUGAUGCAUGGUGUUAUUUUGUUUCAGUAUCUAUUUAACGGGAGUUCUAAAAACUUUGAAUGAGGAUUGCUUGCUGUCUUUAUGACAGCGAAGCAGAGAAUCAUUCAAGGGAACAUCCAUAUUGGCAAUAGGUUUCAAGAUCUCAUGACACACGGCAAUGGCGGGGUUAUA